CAACCGGUGGAGCAUGUGGUUUAUUUCUAUGCACCGCGAAAAACCUUACCUGGCCUUGACAUCCACGGAAUUCGGCAGAAAUGCCUUAGUGCCUUCGGGAACCGUGAGACAGGUGCUGCAUGGCUGUCUCCACCUCGUGUUGUGAAAUGUUGGGUUAAGUCCCGCAACGAGCGCACCCCUUAUCCUUUGUUGCCAGCGCGUGAUGGCGGGAACUCAAAGGAAACUGCCGGUGAAUAACCGGAAGAAGGGGGGGAAGACGUCAAAUCAUCCUGGCCCUUACUGCCAGGGCUACCCCCGUUCUACAAUGGCACAUAAAAAAACAACCCACCUCGCGAAAGCAAACGAACCUCAAAAAGUGCGUCAUACUCCGGAUCGGAGUCUGCAACUCCACUCCGUGAAGCUGGAAUCGCUAGUAAUCGUAUAUCAAAACGCUACGGUGAAUACUUUCCCGGGCCUUGUACCCCCC
RNAcentral lists this ribosomal RNA (466 nucleotides) under uncultured bacterium. RNAcentral describes it as "partial 16S ribosomal RNA". It matches the Rfam family "Bacterial small subunit ribosomal RNA", at positions 926 to 1391 of the family's 1533-position model. The record is from RNAcentral.